CAGGCACCCAGGAAAGUACUCGGCGGCAGCACCGCAGCCCCCAGGACAGAGCCAUCUUCCAGCCGCGCCUCAUCUUUGGAUCGAAGAUCGACCAAGCAGGCCUGCUGGCGCUGGGUUGGAACUGCUGGGCUGGCAGCUAGGAGGAGGGAAGGCGGGCUGUGCGGCGCUCCACUGCGUAGCCUGGCGGGAACUGUCUCCCCGAGCCGGUCGAUACCACCUGUAAGGCUGCAGGGCAGAGUGCUCCCUGCCUGGCACAAUAGGCAUGAGUCAUGGCAAGGAGGAACUGACAACCCUGGAGCGGAAGGUGAUCCGCCUGGCAGUCGAGCAGUCGAGGCUAGGCAAGUUCUGAGGAAAUGCAGUCCCUCCCCUUUCCUUUUUUUCCACCCCCUAGCUAUAUACAGCUCUAGAUGCAGACCUAGACCUCUGCAAAACAAUAAAGCGGAAGAAAUUUGGGUCUGCCCAUGUGCUCUUACUGCACUGCGUCCUCCCCUCAUCUCCUUUCUGAUCUUUAUGUUUUUCUGUCUCUCUUUGUUUCCCCCGUCAACACAUACACGCGGUGCGAAAGAUACCAGCCACAGCAUCUUAAGACUUAAAGGUUAUCCAACCCCAUCCUCCCACUGCUGCUUCAACAAUGUGCUUAACGCGUAGUGCUGCAAUCACUGCUUAGAGAGAGAGAGCAUGAGAAUGGGAGAGGGGCAGAGGAGAGAGUAUGGAGCCCUAGAUGGGACUUGAUCCCACAACCUGGGAUAAUGACCUAUGUCAAGAUCAAGAGUCGGAUGCUCAACUGACUGAGCCACCCAGGCAUCCCUGGAUAUCUCUUUGAGGCACAAGUUUCCUUUCCUUUGGAUGUAUAUAAAAAGUGUUAUUUCUACAAAAACAGACACAUAGACCAAUGGAAUAGAAUAGAGACUCCAGAACUGGACCCACAAAAGUAUUGCCAACUAAUCUUUGACAAAGCAGGAAAGAAUAUACAAUGGAAAAAAAGACAGUCUCUUUCACAAAUGGUGCUGGGAGAACUGGACAGCAACAUGAAGAACAAAGAAACUAGACCACUAUCUUACACCAUUCACAAAAAUAAACUCAAAAUAGAUGAAGGACCUGAAUGUGAGACAGGAAACCAUCAAAACCCUAGAGGAGAAAUCAGGAAAAAACCUCUCUGACCUCAGCCGCAGAAAUUUCUUACUUGACACAUCUCCAAAGGCAAGAGAAUUAAAAGCAAAAAUCAACUAUUGGGACCUCAUGAAGAUAAAAAACUUCUGCACUGCAAAGGAAACAAUCAACAAAAAUAAAAGGCAACCAACGGAAUGGGAAAAGAUAUUUGCAAAUGACAUAUCGGACAAAGGGCUAGUAUCCAAAAUCUAUAAAGAGCUCACCAAACUCCACACCUGAAAAACAAAUAAUCCAGUGUGGAAAUGGACAGAAAACAUGAAUAGACACUUCUCUAAAGAAGGCAUCCAGAUGGCCAACCAACACAUGAAAAGAUGCUCAACGUCACUUCUCAUGAGGGAAAUACAAAUCAAAACCACACUCAGAUACCACCUCACACCAGUCAGAGUGGCUAAAAUGAACAAAUCAAGAGACUCUAGAUGCUGGAGAGGAUGUGGAGAAACGGGAACCCUCUUGCACUGUCGGUGGGCAUGCAAACUGGUGCAGCCACUCUGGAAAACAGUGUGGAGGUUCCUCAAAAAAUUAAAAAUAAAUCUACCCUAUGACCCAGCAACAGCACUGCUAGGUAUUUACCCAAGGGAUACAGGAGUGCUGAUGCAUAGGGGCACUUGUACCCCAAUGUUUAUAGCAGCACUUUCAACAAUAGCCAAAUUAUGGAAAGAGCCUAAAUGUCCAUCAACUGAUGAGUGGAUAAAGAACUUGUGGUUUAUAUACACAAUGGAAUACUACGCGGCAAUGAGAAAGAAUGAAAUCUGGCCUUUUGUAGCAACGUGGGUGGAACUGGAGAGUGUGAUGCUAAGUGAAAUAAGCCAUACAGAGAAAGACAGAUACCAUAUGGUUUCACUCUUAGGUGGAUCCUGAGAAACUUAACAGAAACCCAUGGGGGAGGGGAAGAAAAAAAAAAAAGAGGUUAGAGUGGGAGAGAGCCAAAGCAUAAGAGACUCUUAAAAACUGAGAACAAACUGAGGGUUGAUGGGGGGUGGGAGGGAGGGGAUGGUGGGUGAUGGGUAUUGAGGAGGGCACCUUUUGGGAUGAGCACUGGGUGUUGUAUGGAAACCAAUUUGACAAUAAAUUUCAUAUAUUAAAAAAAAACUGAGAAUAAACUGAGGGCUGUUGGGUGGUAGGUGAGGGGAAAGUGGGUGAUGGUUGAUGGGUGAUUGGUGAGGGCACCUGUUAGGAUGAGUACUGGGUGUUGUAUGGAAACCAAUUUGACAAUAAAUUUCAUAAUAAAGAAAAAUAAUAAAAAAAUAAUAAUAAAAAA
Molecule: long non-coding RNA, 2428 nt
Organism: Acinonyx jubatus (cheetah)
Lineage: Eukaryota; Metazoa; Chordata; Mammalia; Carnivora; Felidae
Exons: 2
Source: RefSeq, a predicted model, not a curated record